Molecule: ribosomal RNA, 301 nt
Filed under: uncultured bacterium
Lineage: Bacteria
Description: partial 16S ribosomal RNA
Rfam family: Bacterial small subunit ribosomal RNA
Source: RNAcentral
CAGUCGCCGCGGUAAUACGUAGGUGGCAAGCGUUGUCCGGAAUUAUUGGGCGUAAAGGGCUCGCAGGCGGUUUCUUAAGUCUGAUGUGAAAGCCCCCGGCUCAACCGGGGAGGGUCAUUGGAAACUGGGAAACUUGAGUGCAGAAGAGGAGAGUGGAAUUCCACGUGUAGCGGUGAAAUGCGUAGAGAUGUGGAGGAACACCAGUGGCGAAGGCGACUCUCCGGUCUGUAACUGACGCUGAGGAGCGAAAGCGUGGGGAGCGAACAGGAUUAGAUACCCCAGUAGUCCCUGUCUCUUAUAC